Molecule: unclassified non-coding RNA, 650 nt
Filed under: Hevea brasiliensis (rubber tree)
Lineage: Eukaryota; Viridiplantae; Streptophyta; Magnoliopsida; Malpighiales; Euphorbiaceae
Source: RNAcentral
CGAAUUCAACAUCCUCUUCAAACAUAGAAGGAACAGCAGCUUCUUUAUGACUAGACUCAGAUCCGGGUGAUCUUUUGCUGGAAUCUGGAGAGGUCGAGACCCCAUUUUGAAUAGAUUCUUCACUACCACCAAAAGUAAAACUUACCACAGGAGUUGCUACCUCCACUGAAUUCGCCAGAUGGCCACUAGACUUACUGGGAUCUUCAAAUGGGUUCACAUUAGAUCUACCAACUUGAAAGUCUGAAGCAUUGCCCCAUGCUGCCCAUUCAGGCAUAGGCCUGUCUCCAAAGGGGUCGUCAUUGUCUGUUGUCUCAAAGUGAAAGAAAGCCAUGUCAUCUGACGGACCUGCUUUGUGAUUUUGUUGAUUGAAACUGACAUCAUUAACAGAAUUCGAUCCAAUAAAGGCAUUUGCACUAGAAGUGGGUGUUCCAUCUGUAGAGUUUCUACUCUCGGCCAAUCCAUCCUCCUCUCCAACUACCACCUCCUCAUCACUAUUGCUAUUCCCGCCGUUUGAUGUUCCAUUAAGGUUGAUCUCUUCCAUUGCCUCUGUAGAUGAGGUGUUCACAGGUGCAUCACCAAGUCUAUCAUCUUGAAAAGCAAACCAGUUUGAGUUUGUGAACAAACUGCUCCCCUGAUCAUCUCCCAAUCGG